CCUACGGGUUGCACCAGUGGGGAAUAUUGGACAAUGGGCGAAAGCCUGAUCCAGCAAUGCCGUGUGUGUGAAGAAGGUCUUCGGAUUGUAAAGCACUUUCGACGGGGACGAUGAUGACGGUACCCGUAGAAGAAGCCCCGGCUAACUUCGUGCCAGCAGCCGCGGUAAUACGAAGGGGGCCAGCGUUGCUCGGAGUGACUGGGCGUAAAAGGCGCGUAGGCGGUUUAUGCAGUCAGAUGUGAAAUCCCCGGGCUUAACCUGGGAACUGCAUUUGAGACGCAUAGACUAGAGGUCGAGAGAGGGUUGUGGAAUUUCCAGUGUAGAGGUGAAAUUCGUAGAUAUUGGGAAGAACACCGGUGGCGAAGGCGGCAACCUGGCUCGAUACUGACGCUGAGGCGCUAAAGCGUGGGGAGCAAAUAGGAUUAGAUACCCCUGUAGUC
This 440-nucleotide ribosomal RNA is filed under the name uncultured bacterium. RNAcentral describes it as "bacterial SSU rRNA". It matches the Rfam family "Bacterial small subunit ribosomal RNA", at positions 338 to 795 of the family's 1533-position model. The record is from RNAcentral.